GGGGAACAUGUGGAACUGUUGCCCUAGGAAGAAAGCAGAAGUUUUGGCCCAACUUGACAACUGUUUUAGGGCUCCUCCUGCUGCCCCGCACGACUCACCACACGCCUGUCUAAAGUGAUGCUUGCGUGGGUUUUCUCCAGCUGCUCCAACUUCUUCCCGCAUCCCAGGAAGGGGCACGUUAGAUCAAUUGAAGAUGUCUACCUUCUGCCUUCAACGCGACAAAAACCUUCAAACCUGACACAA
Molecule: long non-coding RNA, 243 nt
Organism: Syngnathoides biaculeatus (alligator pipefish)
Lineage: Eukaryota; Metazoa; Chordata; Actinopteri; Syngnathiformes; Syngnathidae
Exons: 3
Source: RefSeq, a predicted model, not a curated record